This 167-nucleotide unclassified non-coding RNA is filed under the name uncultured fungus. RNAcentral describes it as "sequence contains ITS1". Lineage: Eukaryota; Fungi. The record is from RNAcentral.
UUAACUAUUAUAUAGUACUCAGACAGCAAAGAUUCAAGGGUUUGAUUCCUCUGGCCGGCCCGCGAAGGCCAGCCAAAGCAACUAAGUUUGGUAUACAAAGGGUGAGAAUGGGACCCGCAAGGGUCACCGAUUCUUUAAUGAUCCUUCCGCAGGUUCACCUACGGAAA